Molecule: ribosomal RNA, 253 nt
Filed under: uncultured bacterium
Lineage: Bacteria
Description: partial 16S ribosomal RNA
Rfam family: Bacterial small subunit ribosomal RNA
Source: RNAcentral
UACGUGAGGGGCGAACGUUGUUCGGUGUCACUGGGCUUAAAGGGUGCGUAGGUGGUUGCGUAAGUAAGGUGUGAAAUCCCUCGGCUUACCCGGGGAAUUGCAUUUUAUACUGCGUGGCUUGAGGACUAAAGGGGAAAAGGGAACUCCAGGUGUAGCGGUGAAAUGCGCAGAUAUCUGGGGGAAGGCCGGCGGCGAAGGCGCUUUUCUGGUUAGAUCCUGACACUGAGGCACGAAAGCGUGGGGAGCAAACAGG